Molecule: transfer RNA, 87 nt
Filed under: Melioribacteraceae bacterium
Lineage: Bacteria; Pseudomonadati; Ignavibacteriota; Ignavibacteria; Ignavibacteriales; Melioribacteraceae
Description: tRNA-Leu
Rfam family: tRNA
About the family: Transfer RNA (tRNA) molecules are approximately 80 nucleotides in length. Their secondary structure includes four short double-helical elements and three loops (D, anti-codon, and T loops).
Source: RNAcentral
GCCGGGGUGGCGGAAUUGGUAGACGCAAAGGACUUAAAAUCCUUUGGGUGUUUUCACCCGUGCCGGUUCGAGUCCGGCCCUCGGUAC